AAACUGCGAAUGGCUCAUUAAAUCAGUUAUCGUUUAUUUGAUAGUACCUUACUACAUGGAUAACCGUGGUAAUUCUAGAGCUAAUACAUGCUAAAAACCCCAACUUCGGGAGGGGUGUAUUUAUUAGAUAAAAAACCAACGCCCUUCGGGGCUUCUUGGUGAUUCAUAAUAACUUUACGGAUCGCAUGGCCUUGCGCCGGCGACGGUUCAUUCAAAUUUCUGCCCUAUCAACUUUCGAUGGUAAGGUAUUGGCUUACCAUGGUUUCAACGGGUAACGGGGAAUUAGGGUUCGAUUCCGGAGAGGGAGCCUGAGAAACGGCUACCACAUCCAAGGAAGGCAGCAGGCGCGCAAAUUACCCAAUCCCGACACGGGGAGGUAGUGACAAUAAAUACUGAUACAGGGCUCUUUUGGGUCUUGUAAUUGGAAUGAGUACAAUUUAAACCUCUUAACGAGGAACAAUUGGAGGGCAAGUCUGGUGCCAGCAGCCGCGGUAAUUCCAGCUCCAAUAGCGUAUAUUAAAGUUGUUGCAGUUAAAAAGCUCGUAGUUGAAACUUGGGUCUGGCUGGCAGGUCCGCCUCACCGCGUGUACUUGUCCGGCCGGGCCUUCCUUCUGGAGAACCUCAUGCCCUUCACUGGGCGUGUUGGGGACCAGGACUUUUACUUUGAAAAAAUUAGAGUGUUCAAAGCAGGCCUUUGCUCGAAUACGUUAGCAUGGAAUAAUAGAAUAGGACGUGCGGUCCUAUUUUGUUGGUUUCUAGGACCGCCGUAAUGAUUAAUAGGGACAGUCGGGGGCAUCAGUAUUCAAUUGUCAGAGGUGAAAUUCUUGGAUUUAUUGAAGACUAACUACUGCGAAAGCAUUUGCCAAGGAUGUUUUCAUUAAUCAGUGAACGAAAGUUAGGGGAUCGAAGACGAUCAGAUACCGUCGUAGUCUUAACCGUAAACUAUGCCGACUAGGGAUCGGGCGAUGUUCUUUUUCUGACUCGCUCGGCACCUUACGAGAAAUCAAA
This 1008-nucleotide ribosomal RNA is filed under the name Camarosporidiella moricola. Its description in RNAcentral is "SSU rRNA". It matches the Rfam family "Eukaryotic small subunit ribosomal RNA", at positions 84 to 1102 of the family's 1831-position model. The record is from RNAcentral. Lineage: Eukaryota; Fungi; Ascomycota; Dothideomycetes; Pleosporales.